Molecule: ribosomal RNA, 731 nt
Filed under: uncultured bacterium
Lineage: Bacteria
Description: bacterial SSU rRNA
Rfam family: Bacterial small subunit ribosomal RNA
Source: RNAcentral
CCCUGGCACAACACUGACGCUCAGGUGCGAAAGCGUGGGGAGCAAAUAGGUUUAGAUACCCUGGUAGUCCACGCCGUAAACGAUGUCUACUAGCUGUUCGUGACCUUGUGUUGUGAGUAGCGCAGCUAACGCAUUAAGUAGACCGCCUGGGGAGUACGGUCGCAAGAUUAAAACUCAAAUGAAUUGACGGGGGCCCGCACAAGCGGUGGAGCAUGUGGUUUAAUUCGACGCAACGCGAAGAACCUUACCUACUCUUGACAUCUACAGAAGACUGCAGAGAUGCGGUUGUGCCUUCGGGAACUGUAAGACAGGUGCUGCAUGGCUGUCGUCAGCUCGUGUUGUGAAAUGUUGGGUUAAGUCCCGCAACGAGCGCAACCCUUAUCCUUAGUUGCCAGCGAUUCGGUCGGGAACUCUAGGGAGACUGCCGGUGAUAAACCGGAGGAAGGUGGGGACGACGUCAAGUCAUCAUGGCCCCUUACGAGUAGGGCUACACACGUGCUACAAUGGUAUGUACAGAGGGAGGCGAUGCCGCGAGGCGGAGCGGAUCUCUUAAAGCAUAUCGUAGUCCGGAUCGCAGUCUGCAACUCGACUGCGUGAAGUCGGAAUCGCUAGUAAUCGCAAAUCAGAAUGUUGCGGUGAAUACGUUCCCGGGCCUUGUACACACCGCCCGUCAACACCAUGGGAGUGGGUUGCAAAAGAAGUAGGUAGCUUAACCUUCGGGAGGGCGCUUA